GCCUUGGCCUCCCCGAAGUGCUGGGAUUACAGGUGUGAGCCACCACAGCUGGACUUCAUUAAGGAUCUUGAGAGGAAAUCAUUCCAGAUUUAGGGUGGCCCUAAAUCCGAUGACUGGUGUCCUUAAGAGAGGACAAAGAGGGGCACGUGAAGAUGGAGGCAGAGACUGGAAUGAUGUUGCCACAUGCCAAGGAAUGUUGGGCCACCAGAAGCUGCAAGAGGCAAAGAAGAAUUCUUCCCUUACACUUUUGGAGAGAGCAUCGCCCUGUCAACUCCUUAACUUCAGACUUCUAGUCUUCGCAACUAUGAGAGAAUAAGUGCAUUUAAGCCAUGUUGUUACGGCAGCCCUAGCAGCCCUGGAAAAUGAAUACACUGAGUGCUCGGAUCCAGACCAGCAUAUGGAGCUGGUGAUCUUAUCUUGGGUUUCGUGAUGACUGUUUUCCACGUCUCCACCUUCUUCCCCAUGGCUGCACUGCACAUUUACUGUGGAUCUACACUAAGAUCUCCUCCAAAGGACAGGUAAAUGCGUGAUCACCUGAUCCCUCACCAAAGAGUAUGAGACAGAAAGAAUGGCAAGUGUUCUCUGGGAGCUGCCAAUGACCUGGUCCUCAGCAAAGGGAACAACCUGAAAUUCUCUCCUGUGGAAGACGUGUUGAAAGCCCAACUGAGAGACAGUGUUGGCUGAGGAGCCUAGUGAACUGGGGUCCACCUCUCCUGCUGGAGGCUCUGAAGUCGACCCUGGAGCAGCAGAGCCCCCUGAGGGUCCCACCUGCACAGCAUUGCUUUGGUUCACAGCCGCACUGACCUAACACCGCCAGCCUGAGGAAAGGAGGAUGGUCAGAGCGCCCUGCAGGGCUCACUGUGCUCCCUGGAAGGAAGCUUUGGAGCCUGGUGUUUACUAACCUGCACAGUGUGUGUCCCUGCGAAGAGGUCCCACGACAAAGUGUUCUCUCUCAUCAGAGCAGGGGAAAAGGCUGAGUUUCUAUCUCACAGAUACUGACUCACGUAGCUGAAACAAUUGCCCUCUCCAAGUCAGCUGCCAGAACGCUCAGAGAGAAAUCUGUGGGCCACCUCUUACAAAUGUAUAGGCGAUUCCACAGUUUGUGUACUAGCCUCCCCGUUACUUCUUUUGUAAAUAUUCAAUCUUAUUGUGUUGCAUAUAUUUAGGUAAAUGCUCUAAUUCCUUUUGGGACCAAGACAGGUUCAUACACAGGCACUAAAAAGGUGAGAAAACAAACAAACAAAAAAUCCUCACGUCAUCACAGAUUGGCUACUUUAAUGAUUCUGCCUUUAGUUUCCCUCCUAUCCCCAAAAAUUCUGUAUCAUAUCAUACUUGGAAUAUGAGUUUUCACAUUUACCAAAAUAAUAGGGUAUCUUAAUUUUUUUUUUUC
This 1390-nucleotide long non-coding RNA is filed under the name Homo sapiens (human). Its description in RNAcentral is "HSALNT0360020". The record is from RNAcentral. Lineage: Eukaryota; Metazoa; Chordata; Mammalia; Primates; Hominidae.